CAGAUAAGGAAUCGAUAGAUUUUUGUGGAAACGGUUCAACAACGUCCAAAGAAUCGCCCAUGAAAUCGACAGAAGAUCGUGCAACAAUCGCAAGAGCCGGGCCAGCUGGUAGACACCACGAAUGUAACAUUCUAGAUUUGAAGGAAGUCUUACAAGAGGCGUAAAUUCUUGAUUGAAGAAUCACUAAGUAAGAGCCAACAUUUAUAUAUCUACGCAGAGUACUACACCGAACAAGCCGAGAAAGUCAAGAACGUGGAUUCCAUGGGUUAACCAUGCUCGAAGAAGGAUAUCUGACGGGCCAGUUAGCCUACUUACGAAGACUUGAAAUUCGCCCCGACGCGUCGUCAUCAUGACCGGUUCUCACUUAUUUCGAUAAUAAUGCCCAGCAGUGGCCCACAAAAUUUAAGAAAAGGUUUCCUAUGCGAUCAACACCCAACCAACGAAUCACAAUUUACCUAAGACUUGCGUAAUAAUUGUGGACGACAUCGUCGACGUGCCGAACUCGUGUCUUCGAUUUGCCAGGUAUUGAAAGAGAUUUCAAAAUCCGGUCUCUGUGUCACUUUCGAACAGAGAAAGUCGUGCAAUUCAUUUUGCCGUUCGUAGAACGAUUUAUAGAAAACUUUCGUUAGAGAUUGCUAAGACACUUAGAAAUUGAAGCGCGAAUAGAAAUUGUUCAAAUGGAAUAUUAAUGUUCCCAAUGCAUGAAAUUAUUAUUAUUAAUGAUAUUAUUAAUUUUAAAUAACGUUUUGUAUUUGUUUCUUCCGAUAUAAUAAUGAUUUAAUAUAAUUUAGUGAUUUUCAAUGUUUGCAUUAUACGGAACACGAACGAAAAAGUUAAAUUUGACUAUUGCGCAUGCGUUUCGCGGGCUUACGCCGCUUGUAUUGUCGAUAUAAUGUUUAAACAACAUUAUAAAUAUAAUAAUACAAUGUUAUG
RNAcentral lists this unclassified non-coding RNA (933 nucleotides) under Bombus terrestris (buff-tailed bumblebee). Its description in RNAcentral is "misc RNA ENSBTSG00005021805.1". Lineage: Eukaryota; Metazoa; Arthropoda; Insecta; Hymenoptera; Apidae. The record is from RNAcentral.